UAAAAAUCGUUGACUAAGAAGAGUACGUUUAAUUGAUGCGUUGCAGAGAGCUGGGAUUGGUGCGAUCCAGUACGAUAAAUUAUACCGAAUGGGCUUAGGAGAGGUACGCUGAAACAUUAGGAGUAUGCGACCCGGGUUCCGCCGUUACAAGGAUGAGGAUAUCGAAUCUAUUUUUUCCGUAUCCAAAAACGAGAGGAUUCGUAGUCAAUGUGACAACGAAUCAAAAGAGGUGGCACCACGGUAUAAUCGUAUAUAUCGCCCUCUAC
This 266-nucleotide non-coding RNA is filed under the name Bacillus cereus. Its description in RNAcentral is "T-box sequence". It matches the Rfam family "T-box leader". Rfam says of the family: Uncharged tRNA acts as the effector for transcription antitermination of genes in the T-box leader family. T-boxes are found upstream of many aminoacyl-tRNA synthetase genes and some amino acid biosynthetic genes usually in Gram-positive bacteria. Lineage: Bacteria; Bacillati; Bacillota; Bacilli; Caryophanales; Bacillaceae. The record is from RNAcentral.